UUUCUCUUUACAUUUUGUGAAUCAUGAGGAUAUCAAUGAGGAUUGUUCAUCGAAAAAUUUACACUUUAAGUCACUUUAUUACUUUUUACUACAUGAUAGAUCACUUCUUGCUAUUGAGGCAUUUUUCCCUAACUAAAUGUAAACUACAACGAAGUCUAGUUCGUUCUUUUUUUUUAAUAUUUGUUUGACUUUCUCCUCCACUUUAAUUUAUCUUCUUUCUGUAAAAUUUACUUUAUACUUUUUCUGACCAACCAAAAUAACCCUCCUCCCCCAUAGUCUUCUUCUUUUCUCACGGACAACAAAGGACACUUCAUCUCUGUAGCUUUGUUGAGAAGUUGACAAUCCGCCUCAAGAAGAAGUCAUCUCGUCCUUGUUGUGGUCGUCAUGAUUGGACCAGAGUCGUGGUAGCCGGAAUCGUCAAGGCUUCAGUCGUAGAUCAAAGACAGAGCUUAAUUUUAGCAACAAUGGCAGCUUUAGAUUAUUUGCAGAUCUGGUCCUUCCACUCUUGUUAAUUUUCAAAUCCGUCUCAAACUGCUAAUUUGUUCAAUUUUUUAUAAUUUGUCCCCAAACUUUUAAUUGUGCAAUCUAAACCAAAAAAAAAUUCUCAUGUAAA
This is a long non-coding RNA of Raphanus sativus (radish), 613 nucleotides long. RefSeq lists it as uncharacterized. The transcript is spliced from 2 exons. Lineage: Eukaryota; Viridiplantae; Streptophyta; Magnoliopsida; Brassicales; Brassicaceae. The record is from RefSeq and is a predicted model, not a curated record.